This 253-nucleotide ribosomal RNA is filed under the name uncultured bacterium. RNAcentral describes it as "partial 16S ribosomal RNA". It matches the Rfam family "Bacterial small subunit ribosomal RNA", at positions 524 to 776 of the family's 1533-position model. The record is from RNAcentral.
UACGAAGGGGGCGAGCGUUGUUCGGAUUUACUGGGCGUAAAGGGCUCGUAGGCGGCCAACUAAGUCGGAUGUGAAAUCCCCAGGCUUAACCUGGGAACUGCAUCCGAUACUGGAUGGCUUGAAUCCGGGAGAGGGAUGCGGAAUUCCAGGUGUAGCGGUGAAAUGCGUGGAUAUCUGGAGGAACACCGGUGGCGAAGGCGGCAUCCUGGACCGGCAUUGACGCUGAGGAGCGAAAGCCAGGGGAGCAAACGGG